UUGGGCAUGGAUCCCCACAUCCCCCCUGCCCCGGGCGUUCUCUCUGCACUCAGAGAUGAUGCACAAGAUGAUGACAUUUGGCCUCAGGCAGCUCAGUUGCCCCCUCAGACACAGACACGGGGCUGGCUGCUUUCCUGUCGUUUUUUGAGGCAUGGGAAGUGCGUUAUGUGUGUAGGGACACAGUGGAGCUCCUGGCCAGUUUAGUUCCAGCGUAUGCAAACACCCUGUGCUGGGGGUGGGUGUGGGGAUGGGUCAGGACGUGGUGUCCUCUGUCCCCGUCACACUGGGAAAGGCCACAAGUCUCUUCCUCUGUCCAGUCCAGCAGUGACCCCUUCUCUGUGUUCCCUGAGCACACUGUAGAUCCACACGGACCCAGCCAAGCACCCAAGCACAUCACACUCACCUGCAUCAGACCUGACUUUGGCAUGCUCGGCCCUAAGGAAAGAAACCCAAGUGUUUCUGCAAUUACCUGCCAGUCAGAUCUCAUGUGGCUCUGCCUUCAGGCCAGCAGUGGAUUUUGCCUCUGCCCAAACAUUUCUUUUGCCUCAUAAAACACAUGCAGCAUGUGCUGAACUGCCAGUGGGUUCAGCAGUCACCUCCACACUUAGGCAGAAGAGCUGAGCAGCGGCACUGCCAGUUUUGGUAGGUCAGUGUCUCAGACAUCUCCAGCAUUGCACAGCCAUGAUGUGCUCAAUGAUUCACAUAAUCACUGGCUGGCACUAAUCUAUUAACCAUUUUAUGGAGGCACAUCCCUGAUUCCUGCAUCUCCAGGCUGCUCUGAAGUGCUGAGCUGUAGCAGCUUUCUUGACAGGAACUUUAUUCUCCAUUUUAUGGGAUCUGCCCCUUUUAAGACACCUUGAAGCACAUGUACUUGGGGAGUUAUCCUUUCUCUUGCAUCCAAAGGCUGGUUCUUCUCCUUGACAGGUCCCACACCAGAAGGACAUAAAGAACAGCAGUGAGAGGCAGCAGGAAAAACCAGAAACUGAAGCAAAGGCAGACUUCAGAGAAGAACAAGGAUGUUAGCUAGCCCCCAAAAUAUGUAAAUAAACUGCACAGCAUCUUUGCAUGCAGGGAAAUUACUAAUUUGUCCAAAACUGGUUUGAGUGGGAGCAAUUUACUGAUUUAGAGGUAUGGUUCCCUGUGUGGCUGGUAAACCUCUGCAAACUCCUUAUUUGUCUGACUUUUGGUUUGGUUUUUUUGCAGGUCUCUUGAAGUGCUGUCUCUCUCCAGUUCCCCAAAUUUGAGAAAAUCAUAGUUGAUAAAAUGUCCACCUCCUAGUCAAAAUUGCUGCUACGACUCAGAGCUGCAGAGCUGUAGCUGACCUGACUGUGUUUAGUUUACUUCUGGAGGCAAGAUGCUCAGUGGUUGAAAAGCACAACCAAGCACCCUGGAGUAACAGAGCUGCCCUGAUUUCCCCCAGCUGGGAUCUGUUCCUGUCUCCCCAACAUCUGCACCUUUGUGGGAACUGAUUAACAACUGCUACAACACUGCUGGGGAGGGGACAAUGGCAUAAAAAAUGUUGGCCCCAUGGGUUUCUGUUUCUGGGUGGGUUUUGACUCUCCUGUACUAAGGAUCUGAGGAAGUUUAUUGCUGCAAAAUAAUAAAAUAUUUAAGAAUGAUCAAAUUUUGUGUGGAAACUAUUUGAGAGUGUC
This is a non-coding RNA of Cyanistes caeruleus (blue tit), 1652 nucleotides long. The record is from RefSeq and is a predicted model, not a curated record. Lineage: Eukaryota; Metazoa; Chordata; Aves; Passeriformes; Paridae.